RNAcentral lists this ribosomal RNA (680 nucleotides) under Lactiplantibacillus plantarum. Its description in RNAcentral is "bacterial SSU rRNA". It matches the Rfam family "Bacterial small subunit ribosomal RNA", at positions 60 to 705 of the family's 1533-position model. Lineage: Bacteria; Bacillati; Bacillota; Bacilli; Lactobacillales; Lactobacillaceae. The record is from RNAcentral.
AGUCGAACGAACUCUGGUAUUGAUUGGUGCUUGCAUCAUGAUUUACAUUUGAGUGAGUGGCGAACUGGUGAGUAACACGUGGGAAACCUGCCCAGAAGCGGGGGAUAACACCUGGAAACAGAUGCUAAUACCGCAUAACAACUUGGACCGCAUGGUCCGAGUUUGAAAGAUGGCUUCGGCUAUCACUUUUGGAUGGUCCCGCGGCGUAUUAGCUAGAUGGUGGGGUAACGGCUCACCAUGGCAAUGAUACGUAGCCGACCUGAGAGGGUAAUCGGCCACAUUGGGACUGAGACACGGCCCAAACUCCUACGGGAGGCAGCAGUAGGGAAUCUUCCACAAUGGACGAAAGUCUGAUGGAGCAACGCCGCGUGAGUGAAGAAGGGUUUCGGCUCGUAAAACUCUGUUGUUAAAGAAGAACAUAUCUGAGAGUAACUGUUCAGGUAUUGACGGUAUUUAACCAGAAAGCCACGGCUAACUACGUGCCAGCAGCCGCGGUAAUACGUAGGUGGCAAGCGUUGUCCGGAUUUAUUGGGCGUAAAGCGAGCGCAGGCGGUUUUUUAAGUCUGAUGUGAAAGCCUUCGGCUCAACCGAAGAAGUGCAUCGGAAACUGGGAAACUUGAGUGCAGAAGAGGACAGUGGAACUCCAUGUGUAGCGGUGAAAUGCGUAGAUAUAUGGAAGA